This is an RNA transcript of Dromaius novaehollandiae (emu), 5414 nucleotides long. It is a transcript of the gene named HUS1 checkpoint clamp component, with no coding region annotated. Lineage: Eukaryota; Metazoa; Chordata; Aves; Casuariiformes; Dromaiidae. The record is from RefSeq and is a predicted model, not a curated record. The transcript is spliced from 14 exons.
CGGGGGCGGUGCUCGGAGGCGGUGCCGCGCAGCGUUUCCUUUGCAGUGGUGAGACGCGCGCCGCCGCCAUCAUGCGUUUCCGGGCCAAGAUCGUGGAUCUCGCCUGUCUCAACCACUUCAGCCGUGAGCCAGCCGGGUGGCUCGGCGCCGGCCCGGCCGUGCCGGGGCGCCGCCGGGCUCGGGGCGCCUUGCCGGGGCAGUGGCUGUCGGGGGAGGGGGCGGUGGUGCGGGGCCGCGGCAGGGCCAGGACGUGGCGGCAGCUGCGGGGGGAUCGCGGGAGACCGUCUCCCCGCCUGUUGUUUGUCUGUGUGUCUGUGCUCCGGAUCGCGUUGCGUGCGGCCUGCCGAGGCCGGGGCGCGGCGCGGGCUCUUAAGAAGUUCCUGCUACGCCGUUUUGCCCCUCCAGGAGUAGUGAACACGGUGGCCCGGCUGGCCAAGACCUGCACCCUGCGCCUCACGGCCGACAAGCUGUAUUUCAUCCUCUCGGAUAAAGUGGCAAACGGAGGCGUCAGCGUGUGGUGUGAGCUGUGCCAGGGGAAUUUCUUUGAUGAGUUCCAGAUGGAAGGAGUAGCUGCAGAGCACAAUGAAAUCUAUUUGGAGCUGGUGCCUGAGAACCUGUCGAGAGCAUUAAAAACAGCCCAGAAUGCAAAGACAGUGAAAAUCAAGCUGACCAACAAACACUGUCCGUGUCUCACAGUAGCUGUGGAGCUACCAUCCUUGUCAAGCAGCAGUCGAAUUGUGACACAUGACAUUCCAGUGGGGGUUAUUCCCAGAAGAUUAUGGAAUGACUUCAGAGAGCCCAGCGUGCCAGACUUUGAUGUCAGUAUUUACCUACCAGUGUUAAAAACAAUGAAAAGUGUGGUGGAGAGAAUGAAGAACCUCAGCAAUUACAUUGUGAUUGAAGCAAACUUGUGUGGAGAAAUGAACUUGAAAAUAGAAACUGAUUUAGUGUCUGUAACAACACAUUUUAGAGACUUAGGAAAUCCUCCUUGGGCGUCAGACAAUGAAUGUCAAAGCUCUGCUCGAGGUAGAGAUCUGGAAAGCAUGGCUGAGGCACGGAUAGACAUCAAGAAGCUACUGCAGCUGCUUGCAGGACAGCAAGUCAAUCCCACAAAAGCUUUGUGCAACAGUUGGACUGCUCAGCUCUGCUAUAUGAAUGGGAAGUGCUUUGCUGUACAGACACUAAUGCAAGUGGCAUUUUGGAUACGACUGCCCUAGCUUGGACAUCACAAGUGAAGAAAGUGAGGGGAAUGGUCACAUCCUGACAUGUAGUUGCUCCUGCCUGUGACAUUUGAGCAUGACGUCACUGUUCACUGAAGAAAUGUCAACUGCUCCAGAUAUGUCUGUGGCAGUUCGAGCUGUUAAAUACAGAACAAUAUUGAGAUAUCUAGUUGGCUCACAGCUAACAUCAGAAAGAUUAUCCAGUACUGUACUUGCUUCAGUGUCCUGCAUAGCUUAAUUAUAUUACUCAUCAGCUCUACCAUCGGGAGAAGAUCUCUCAAGGCUGCAUUGGAGAUGGUGUGUAAGCACAACUUGUGCUAGUGAAAUCAGCAGGACGUGGCAUUGAUUCUGUAUGCAUUGCAAUCUGGGCUCAGUUUUAAGCCUUGCAUAAUAUUUAUGUGUCAGAAGUGUUUAAAAGAAUAUUUUAGGGAUUCCAUAGAAGCGUAGUUGAGUUUUCCCGAGUAGUAUUUCAUACAGCCUUCCCACAGUUUUAAGUGACUAAGGGAAUGGAGUUUCAAAUUAAAACAGGAGAAAACCUUUCAGAUGGAAACUCAAAAACACUUUAACCUGUAAGAUGUUUGUGCCCUCAUAAGUCAUCACUGGUUCAAAUUUGUAUAUUUCAGCAGACACAAGAAAAUUCAUACAGCAAAUGGCAUAUACAAUAUACAUAAUAAUUUACUUAAUUUGGGAUGAACCACUCCCCAUUGAAAUCAAUGGAAGAAUGUGCAUCUAUCUAAAAGCGACUUAACCUUUACCUUACUACAUUUUCAAAUGACUUCAAAAUUAUAUGUAAACAAGAUAAACCGUUUUACAAAAUCUUGACUUCAGCUAGAGUAACACUUAACAUCUCCAAGCGCAUGCUUGCAAGGACUCAUAAAUGAAAGAUUUUAGAAGCAUAGUUUGGAAAAUGUGAUUCUGCAAGGCCUGUUUAUUAAGGAAAAUCUGGAACAGCAACAAGUUUGACUUCAAAGCAUGAGUCACUCACAAAAUUCAGUACACAUUUGCAGGUGUAGCAACCUUCUGUGUUGCAGUGCUUGAAAUAUUUCAGGUGACAUACAACAUCUUUGAAUAGGGAUCCACAGUAGAAAAAACUUAACCUACUUCAGAGUCCUAUGCUUCAGGACAUAAACUGAUAAACAGCCUGGGUCCUAUGCAGGUCUCCUUUCAUCCUAGCUUAUCAUGCAGGUAAAUUAGGUCAUGGAGUUUACGCAUCUGAUAUGGAAGGCCAGUAUAAGACACAGGUAUUACUCCAAGUGUACUUGGACUAAAGAGUCUUUUGAAUUUUGCAGCUCUUAUUAGCACUUAAAAUUACUAACAGUUUUUACUAGUUUCCUUAGUACUUAAUAAGACACUUACUCCUCUGUGAAGCCAUUUAAAUAGACCAGCUAUAGGCCCCUGAGGUUAAAAAGUGCUUCCUUUUUGUGUGUGAGGUGGAGUUUUGUGGGAUGGGGGUUGCACUGUUCCUUUUAGAUGGGCUAAGAGCCUGUGUUACCCAUUAGAUAUUGAAUGUGUUGUGAGGUGUGCCCUUUCAAUUGCCACAAUAUCAGAUUGUGCUUGAAUGAAAAAGAAUGAGAAGUUCAGUGUGAAAAUGAAGUAGAAAGUCUUUCUUUUUAAGACAAAAUUCUUUGCCUACUCUUAUUAUUUUCUGGAUCAUGAAACUGAGUUGCCUGUGAAUUAGCUUAUUGAGUUCAGCUGUAUAGUCAGUGUCAUUGCUAAUAGCAGAGAGGCUCUUUGGGCAUUUCUACUCCAACGCAGCUCAAGGCAGAUCUUGUCUUGGACUCAAAACUUCCCAGCUUUGCCUUGGCUGCAGAAGUCACUCACUAGGAGCUCCCAUUGGUGUUUGCCUUCAGGCUGCUACAUGCCAGCCAGCUAGGAUCUUUGCGCAUCAGACCAUAACCGCAGAACAUCCCACUUUACCAGCACGGGAUUUCAAGUGACACUUUCUUCUGGAGCUGCUGAAGCAUAAAUGUGGCCUCUCUGCUGACUGCCAUCAGUAGGUCACAGCUCAGAGCUGGCAGGAAGGAGGAAACCUAGAUCCAAGUGACUGUCACCAGGAGACGCGGAGGGGUGCUUGCACUGCGUGGGAAGUAGUGUCUGGAGAAGCAACAUCUACAUUUGGCGUGGAUGAACAGUGCAAUAAACAACGAGCCCUCAAUGUAUAUCAUCACUAGGUCAUCAGCAAUGGCAGGCUGCUCAAACAGUCCCAGACUGCUGUCACUCAGCCUUCGGAGACCAGAAAUGCAGUACUGAAUAUCAGAGAUGACCUGGCUAACCAUGUGCUAGAAAGCUUGACAGCUGGCUAGUGACCAGCAGCUCAAAAGCAUAGUUCAAGUGUCAGGUUAUAGACUUCAGACACUGCCUGUGGAAAGCAAAGGGAAAGGAUGAAGGGGGCUUUGCGAGUGGUUGUGUAUGUUGGUAUAAGAACUGGAGUUUGAAGAUGGAGCCCUUGAAAGCUCUUCUGAAGGCGUUUUGCAGAACUCUUCACAGAACUGGAGAUGCUUGUGUGCCAGAUCAGCAGCGUUUCCUCUACACUUAUCGGCCCUGUGAAUCUACAUGAAAUGUAAACAGGAAGAAGACAAGAUCUCAUGAGAAAUCAGGAGCUGAAAAGGAGCUGCAAUUCAGAUGUGGAUAUUUUCAGCAACGGCAAGGUGAAAUGUUGUGGUCUGAGUAAUGCAGACAGCUGAACAGAGGUGAUCAGAGCUGCUUGAUCCCCUAUAGACCAGUUUUCUGUAACGUUCUGAGCUUAAAUUGGAGGGAAACUUAUAGGACUGGAUGGCCUUUCUGCAUCUGGUUUCUGUUACGGAGAAGCUGACAUACACCAUUUGCUCAGACCAUCUGCAGAGAAAAAAGAGUCUAUGGAACAUAACAAAGCAAAAUUUCUGGCUGGAGUUGUUACCAAUUCAUCAUGAGAAAGAAGAAAAGCUUUUUUACAGAUACAAGAGAAAGGCUUGGAGAAAUUAAUGCAAGUUCCAGGUAAGCCUUUUAUUUUGGGUGCCCAGUUCGGAACGCUGAGGGCCCGAUGUGUCGUCAGGAUGUUUUCGCAUAUUCAAAGUGCAUCUUCCAGAGAGUUUAGUAUUGGCUGAGAAUUUUACUGCAUCUAGAAUUCAGAAAUGUCUUCAGUUAGGUACUCAACAAAUAAGGAUCACAAUUAACUGGUGACCAUGUAAGAAAAGUUUGAUUUACAUGACUUUGGGUCCUACAGAUCUUUUGGCAGAGGCAGAGACAAAGUGUAGCUCUUUGAAGUAUUUGUAUAAUUAUACCAUAUAAUCUUUCCUCUUCAUGCGCUCCUCUACACCAUUGCUUUCCUACUUUCAAGGUUGCUACAGUCGGGGGGCACUGAAAACUCGACAGAAAAGGUACUCAUUAAUAGAGGCAAAAUGUGGGAGAAAUUCCCCCUCCCCCCAAUCUUGUUCUCCAAAAUGGCAGAAAUUUUUCAGAAAAGUUUAGCCUGAGCAGAUACCAAAUAUAUAUAAAAAAAACUCUCAGAAAGUUAAACCUUGGUAAAAUUUAAAGACAACUCAUAAAUUACAAUUUGAAGUAUCAGCAAUCUUGAUAUUUAAGUCAUGGUGUUAGACUAGGGCAACUAGGGCAAUGAAUGUAUUAUUUCGAAGGGAGAUAGUGACAGGUGUAUUCGGUAUAUUAUGGGAUGAAAGAGCUCUUAAUGUGAAGAGGUGAUUAUCUGACUGUAUUAACAAGUGCUUGUUUUGUUUUACAAAGGAAUUGAAACGUAUCCAGGAUUGACUGGAAAAGUCUGAGAAAUAGGCUUAACGAUUUUACAACAGAGAAAGGAGUUGAGAGAAGGUGACAAAGACUGAAAUGGAGAAUUAAGUUUCUGAACACAGAUAUCUUCCACUUGUGUCACCUGACUGACUGCUGUGUUUUCAUGGCUAUAACCCACAUGUUAAAAGCAAACACCCUCAUCUCCUGGUCUUGGGGCCUCUGUAAAUCCACCAAUUCACCUGUUUCCAAUUUUGCUCUGCCCCCACCUUCCCCACCCCUCUGCCAGUGACGCUUCUCCACCUGCAGCUGCCUCCACCAGCAGAGCCUCACAGCUGCAAUAGGUUAUGAUGUGACCACUUAUCUCCAACAAAUGAUAUUUUAAAGAGCUUCAAGUUAUCCAUGUGAAUGCAUGUUAAGUAUGUGACAAACUAUAAUAUUAGUUGAAACAAUAAAUUAUCCUUUUAGGUCUUUCCA